RNAcentral lists this ribosomal RNA (435 nucleotides) under uncultured bacterium. Its description in RNAcentral is "partial 16S ribosomal RNA". It matches the Rfam family "Bacterial small subunit ribosomal RNA", at positions 28 to 507 of the family's 1533-position model. The record is from RNAcentral.
GAUGAACGCUGGCGGUAUGCUUAACACAUGCAAGUCGAACGGACUCUUCGGAGUUAGUGGCGGACGGGUGAGUAACGCGUGAGAAUCUGGCUUUGGGUUCGGGACAACCACUGGAAACGGUGGCUAAUACCGGAUGUGCCGAGAGGUAAAAGAGAAAUUGCCUGAAGAUGAGCUCGCGUCUGAUUAGCUAGUUGGUGAGGUAAAGGCUCACCAAGGCAGCGAUCAGUAGCUGGUCUGAGAGGAUGACCAGCCACACUGGGACUGAGACACGGCCCAGACUCCUGCGGGAGGCAGCAGUGGGGAAUUGUCCGCAAUGGGCGAAAGCCUGACGGAGCAAUACCGCGUGAGGGAAGAAGGCUCUUGGGUUGUAAACCUCUUUUCUUAGGGAAGAACAAAAUGACGGUACCUAAGGAAUCAGCAUCGGCUAACUCCGUG